GCUCUACAACCCUUUGUGAACAUACGUAUAACUGUUGCUUCGGCGGGUAGGGUCUCCGUGACCCUCCCGGCCUCCCGCCCCCGGGCGGGUCGGCGCCCGCCGGAGGAUAACCAAACUCUGAUUUAACGACGUUUCUUCUGAGUGGUACAAGCAAAUAAUCAAAACUUUUAACAACGGAUCUCUUGGUUCUGGCAUCGAUGAAGAACGCAGCGAAAUGCGAUAAGUAAUGUGAAUUGCAGAAUUCAGUGAAUCAUCGAAUCUUUGAACGCACAUUGCGCCCGCCAGCAUUCUGGCGGGCAUGCCUGUUCGAGCGUCAUUUCAACCCUCAAGCUCUGCUUGGUGUUGGGGCCCUACAGCUGAUGUAGGCCCUCAAAGGUAGUGGCGGACCCUCCCGGAGCCUCCUUUGCGUAGUAACUUUACGUCUCGCACUGGGAUCCGGAGGGACUCUUGCCGUAAAACCCCCCAAUUUUCCAAAGGUUGACCUCGGAUCAGGUAGGAAUACCCGCUGAACUUAAGCAUAUCAAUAAGCGGAGGAAAAGAAACCAACAGGGAUUGCCUCAGUAACGGCGAGUGAAGCGGCAACAGCUCAAAUUUGAAAUCUGGCCCUAGGCCCGAGUUGUAAUUUGCAGAGGAUGCUUUUGGUGCGGUGCCUUCCAAGUUCCCUAGAACGGGACGCCAGAGAGGGUGAGAGCCCCGUACAGUUGGACACCAAGCCUUUGUAAAGCUCCUUCGACGAGUCGAGUAGUUUGGGAAUGCUGCUCAAAAUGGGAGGUAUAUUUCUUCUAAAGCUAAAUACCGGCCAGAGACCGAUAGCGCACAAGUAGAGUGAUCGAAAGAUGAAAAGCACUUUGAAAAGAGGGUUAAACAGCACGUGAAAUUGUUAAAAGGGAAGCGCUUGUGACCAGACUUGCGUCCGGUGAAUCACCCAGCUCUCGCGGCUGGGGCACUUCGCCGGCUCAGGCCAGCAUCAGCUCGCUGUCGGGGACAAAAGCUUCAGGAACGUAGCUCUCUUCGGGGAGUGUUAUAGCCUGUUGCAUAAUACCCUUCGGCGGGCUGAGGUACGCGU
RNAcentral lists this ribosomal RNA (1066 nucleotides) under Colletotrichum sp. RNAcentral's name for it is "eukaryotic LSU rRNA". The stretch from base 479 to 1066 matches the Rfam family "Eukaryotic large subunit ribosomal RNA", at positions 1 to 600 of the family's 3401-position model. The record is from RNAcentral. Lineage: Eukaryota; Fungi; Ascomycota; Sordariomycetes; Glomerellales; Glomerellaceae.